AGCAGCCGCGGUAAUUCCAGCUCCAAUAGCGUAUAUUAAAGUUGUUGCAGUUAAAAAGCUCGUAGUUGAAUUUCGGGAUCAAUUAAUUGGUCGUGCCUCUGGUACGUACUGAUUUUAUUGGUUUCUCCCUUCUGAAGAACCAUGAUGUCAUUAAUUUGGUGUCGUGGAGAAUCAGGACUGUUACUUUGAAAAAAUUAGAGUGUUUAAAGCAAGCUAACGCUUGAAUACAUUAGCAUGGAAUAAUGAAAUAGGACGUUUGAUCCUAUUUUGUUGGUUUCUAGGAUCGACGUAAUGAUUAAUAGGGAUAGUUGGGGGCAUUAGUAUUCAAUUGUCAGAGGUGAAAUUCUUGGAUUUAUUGAAGACUAACUACUGCGAAAGCAUUUGCCAAGGAUGUUUUCAUUAAUCAAGAACGAAAGUUAGGGGAUCGAAGACGAUCAGAUACCGUCAUAG
RNAcentral lists this ribosomal RNA (450 nucleotides) under uncultured Glomeromycotina. RNAcentral describes it as "SSU rRNA". It matches the Rfam family "Eukaryotic small subunit ribosomal RNA", at positions 569 to 1023 of the family's 1831-position model. The record is from RNAcentral. Lineage: Eukaryota; Fungi; Glomeromycota.